GACGAACCGUGCGAACGUUGUUCGGAAUCACUGGGUUUAAAGGGCGCGUAGGCGGGCUGUCAAGUCGGUGGUGAAAUCUUUCGGCUCAACCGGAAAAUCGCCUUCGAUACUGGCGGCCUUGAGGGAGGUAGGGGCAUGCGGAACUUCCGGUGGAGCGGUGAAAUGCGUAGAUAUCGGAAGGAACACCGAUGGCGAAAGCAGCGUGCUGGACCUUUUCCGACGCUGAGGCGCGAAAGCCAGGGGAGCAAACGGG
This 253-nucleotide ribosomal RNA is filed under the name uncultured bacterium. RNAcentral's name for it is "partial 16S ribosomal RNA". It matches the Rfam family "Bacterial small subunit ribosomal RNA", at positions 524 to 776 of the family's 1533-position model. The record is from RNAcentral.